This 1599-nucleotide long non-coding RNA is filed under the name Pan troglodytes (chimpanzee). Its description in RNAcentral is "long non-coding RNA NONPTRT004573". Lineage: Eukaryota; Metazoa; Chordata; Mammalia; Primates; Hominidae. The record is from RNAcentral.
AGCACUUUGGGAGGCUAAGGCAGGUGGAUCUCUUUGAGCUCCAGAGUUCAAGACCAGCCUACACAACAUGGUAAAACCAUGUUUCUUUAAAAAAAAAAAAAAAAAAAAAAUUAGCAGGGCGCGGUAGCACACACCUGCAGUCCCAGCUACUUAUGUUACAAACUCCCAUAUUUUUACAAACAUCAGUCAAUGUUCUUCCUAUGACACCAUAAAUUCCUUCCCACACAUAAUUUAUCCACCCUUCCCAUUGUAUUCAAAGCCCAAAGCAAACUUUCUAGGCAAAAAAAAAAAAAAAAAGUACACAGACAUGCAUACCAGUGGGAGCUGAGUGAAAUCUAAAGAGAGGAAUGUGAUCUGGUCAAUGAAGAGAGGAGGGGAGUAAGAUGCUAUGGACCAAAAGGUUGCAUCCAAUGGGAGGUCAAGGUGAACGGACACCUGGAUGUCCUUCUGGAAGGCAACACUCUUUCCCCCAAGGAUGGGCCAGGUCCUGACAAAUCCCCAGUUGCUGUAGUCACCCACAGCUCGGGGCCAGGGGUCGCCCACACAUGAGCUCUGCCAGCACUUCUCUGCGGGAGCCUGGCCCGGGCAUCUCCUCUCUCGCUGCCUCAGGCCUCACCUAGAAAAGCAAAGCAUGGGACCACAGCAGUGGUUCCUUCCAGUGUCUGCAUGAGCAGCGUGCCCCAUCAACAGCUGUCACCACGCACACAUAAAUACAUAUGAAGGAUCCUACCAGAUGACAGCAAUCCUGGGUUGCCUGAUCUAGAAUUUGUCAUCUCAUCAAGAGGGUAAGAAAUUAGAUGUCAGGCAGAGGAUGAAAGAGCCUCAGAAAACAGUGAACAAUUGACCUUGGCUUUUUUUUUCCCCACAAUAGAGAUGUAGUCUCGCUAUGUUGCCCAGGUUGCUCUUGAUCUCCUGGCCUCAAGAGAUCCUCCAACCUCGGCCUCCCAAAGUGCUACCCAACUGAUUUUUCCCAUCAUCUUUGCCACUAUUCAGAUCUUUUACCUCAAUCUGUACUCCUGGAAACUUUAUCAAAUUAAACAAUACCUAUUCAAGGUCACAAAUUAGCAAACACGAUGCUCACGUGGUCUGGUGUAUUACCAGGACAUGUUGAUACAACUCUAUACCAGGCAGUGAUUGCAUAAACUCUAAAUAUUCUUCAGAGUUAAAAGUACAGGGAGUCUGGAAAGGUUUCAUGACCUGUCCUUCUCAUGUUCUAUUUAUGUUUUUUCUUUAAGUUUACUUUUUAAAUUGACAAGUAAAAAUUACAGGCCGGGUGUGGUGGCUCAUGCCUGUAACCCCAGCACUUUGGGAGGCUGAGGCGGGUGGAUCAUGAGGUCAGGAGAUUGAGACCAUCCUGGCUAACAUGGUGAAACCCCAUCUCUACUAAAAAUACAAAAAAAUUAGCCAGGCAUGGUGGCGGGUGCCUCAGCUACUCGGGAGGCUGAGGCAGGAGAAUGGCGUGAACCCAGGAGGCAGAGCUUGCAGUGAGCCAAGAUCGUGCAAUCUCGGCUCACUACAACCUCCGCCUCCAGGAUUCAAGUGAUUCUCCUGCCUCAGCCUCCCAAGUAGCUAGGAUUACAGGCACAUGCCACCACGCCU